Molecule: long non-coding RNA, 839 nt
Organism: Carassius gibelio (silver crucian carp)
Lineage: Eukaryota; Metazoa; Chordata; Actinopteri; Cypriniformes; Cyprinidae
Exons: 2
Source: RefSeq, a predicted model, not a curated record
GACCUUAUUGUUUACGAUCUCUUUAUUACGAUCUAAUAAUUAUUUCUAUUUUGUGAUCAUCUUAGUAAUAAAGUGUGUGUAUUUAUCCUCAGCAUGUGGUGUUUUUUGUCCUGCGUGUCAUCGACUGGAUGGUUCCAGAAAUCCCUGAGUCCUUGGAGCUGAAGAUCAAGCGGGAGCGUUACCUGGCUAAGCAGGCGCUGGCUGAUAAACAGGAGGCCCUGCGGCAAGCAAAGCGCCUCCCUACAUGAGACUGACCUGCAGGGCAGGGGCUUCUCCAGAAGGGGGCUUAGUCACUAAGAAAAUGCAAAAGUGAUCCCAAAAAGACUUGUUUUGAAAAAAAAGAAAAAAAAGAAAUUGGACUGAAACUGGGCUUGGUUCUGUGGUGUUUGAUUGAGCGGAUGUGCAUGUGUUUGUGAGCAUGCAUUUCAAAAUGUAGAGGUCCAUGCCAAAACUUCUAGAUUACCACCUCUUGAACAAACUUGAACUUGAACAAACAGCUGUUUGCAUACUGUAUGAUUUCCUCUGGCUCCAUCUAUACUAAGACAUGUGAUCAACUACACAUCUCACUCUUUCUGCCCUUCUGGUAAAUUAUAUAUGCCUAUUCGGAUUUAGUGGGAGGGCAGGGAGAUUUGCUUUUCUACAUGAUUACUAAAGUAUAUAUUUGUACUAAUGACAAAAUGAAAAUUGUGAAAGAAAUCAAGAAGCUUAUUCUACAUUGUGUUAGUCUGAAAUGCUUCUCUGAAUAAUACCUUAAUAUAUUUGCAUUUGUCAUGUUUAUCUCUGCGCUGUUUAAGGAAUUAUGUUUUAAAAUAAAGCUAGUUUCAGUAACUGUUGGAAAA